GAUGAAGAACGCAGCGAAAUGCGAUAAGUAAUGUGAAUUGCAGAAUUCAGUGAAUCAUCGAAUCUCUGAACGCACAUUGCGCCCCUUGGUAUUCCGGGGGGCAUGCCUGUUCGAGCGUCAUUAUAACCCUCAAGCCUAGCUUGGUGUUGGAGCAUGCUACCUAAGCAGCUCUUAAAAUCAGUGGCAGUGCCCUUCGGCUCUAAGCGUAGUAACUUCUCUCGCUAUGGAACCCGGAGGGUACGCGCCAGAACCCCCAACUUUCUAUGGUUGACCUCGGAUCAGGUAGGGAUACCCGCUGAACUUAAGCAUAUCAAUAAGCGGAGGA
This 325-nucleotide unclassified non-coding RNA is filed under the name soil metagenome. RNAcentral's name for it is "partial contains 5.8S ribosomal RNA, internal transcribed spacer 2, and large subunit ribosomal RNA". The stretch from base 1 to 120 matches the Rfam family "5.8S ribosomal RNA", at positions 35 to 154 of the family's 154-position model. The record is from RNAcentral.